UUGAGUCAAUUUCCAUUCAUGUGGGGGAUUGUUGGAAAAUUUAAUAUUAACUAAUAUUGAUUUUCCUAUUUGAAUGGAAAUUAAUAAAAUCCAUUGGGUUAAAGACAUGGCUCUUGGGUUAAAGACAUCUUCACAUGGGGGGUGACAACUCUUCAAACCAAGGGAUGCAUUGUUUGGGGUGACAACUCUUCAGACCAAGGGAUGCAUUGUUUGCCUUUUCAGAUUAAGAUACCUUUUUAGAAAGGGUAUUUCAUCAUCUAUAAAUAGAGCAAUCCUCCUACAGUUUUAGAAAUUCAGUUUAAUCCUCUACAUACAGACCUUCACAUAUAGAAAGCAUUAGAGUCUUCAUAAAGAGAGGUUCC
Molecule: long non-coding RNA, 362 nt
Filed under: Prunus persica (peach)
Lineage: Eukaryota; Viridiplantae; Streptophyta; Magnoliopsida; Rosales; Rosaceae
Description: long non-coding RNA (PPER_LNC002083)
Source: RNAcentral